GAGAGAGAGAGAGAGAGAGAGAGAGAGAGAGAGAGAGAUGACGCAACACACGACGGAGCAAAUGGAAACACACACACACACACACAAAAAAAAAAAAGUAAACGAGAGGACGAAAAUUAGGAUGAAUUAAGCCUAACAAUAUAUCUUACCACACACACACACACACACACACACACACACACACACACACACACACACACACACAAAAGGUAUAUAUACGGUGCUUGCAUACGAGUCUUUGCAUAAUCUUUCUAUCUGUCUGCCUGUCUGUAUGUCUAUCUGUGCUCCUCCUUGUUUGUCUGUCUAUCUAUCUGUCUGUUUGUCUAUCUUCUUAUACUGACAAUGUUAAUUCCCCUGGUGACAGCAGCAGUGUGGGGGGUGCUGGGCGCGGGCGUAUCAGCUGUUCACCACCGACCCCAACUGGAUCCAGAGGCACCAAAGCCCUACGAGUUCGGUUACGAGGUCAUCAACGGGGAAACAGCCAGCGACUUCGGCCACGAGGAGAAGAGCCACGCGGGGACGGUCACGGGGCGGUAUCACGUAGCCUUGCCCGACGGUCGCCUGCAGGUGGUGACGUACGAGGCAGGCCCUACAGGUUACAAUGCACAGGUGGAGUACUCGGGACAGGCUGCCCACCCUCCACCGCCGCCUCCACCUCCGUUUCCACAUCACCACCUCCACCUUGACUUCCACGAGCCUGUCCUUGGGUUCCCGCCUCCGCCUCCUUACCCCCAACCUCACCCGUACAAUUUAGGGUUUUAGAGAGUUUUAUGGAGUCUGAAACGACUUGAAACGAAUCCCAAAUCUUCUGUAUCAAAAUAAAGCCUCAAUUUUGUUUAUUAUUUAGUCUUAUGGAACCUGAAUUGACUUAAAAACGAAUCCCAAAUCUUCUGUAUCAAAAUAAAGCCUCAAUUCUGUUUAUUAGUUAGUCUUAUGUAACCUGAAUUGACUUAAAAACGAAUCCCAAAUCUUCUGUAUCAAAAUAAAGCCUCAAUUCUGUUUAUCAUUUAGUCUU
Long non-coding RNA from Eriocheir sinensis (Chinese mitten crab), 1015 nucleotides. RefSeq lists it as uncharacterized. The transcript has 3 exons. NCBI's taxonomy places the organism in Eukaryota, Metazoa, Arthropoda, Malacostraca, Decapoda, Varunidae. The record is from RefSeq and is a predicted model, not a curated record.